CCUACGGGAGGCAGCAGUAGGGAAUCUUUCACAAUGGGCGAAAGCCUGAUGGAGCAACGCCGCGUGCAGGAUGAAGGCCUUCGGGUUGUAAACUGCUUUUAUAAGCGAGAAAUAUGAUGGUAACUUAUGAAUAAGGAUCGGCUAACUACGUGCCAGCAGCCGCGGUCAUACGUAGGAUCCGAGCAUUAUCCGGAGUGACUGGGUGUAAAGAGUUGCGUAGGUGGCAUAAUAAGUAGCUAGUGAAAUCUGGUGGCUCAACCAUUCAGACUAUUAGCUAAACUGUUAAGCUCGAGACCGUUAGGGGUAACUGGAAUUUCUAGUGUAGGAGUGAAAUCCGUAGAUAUUAGAAGGAACACCAAUAGCGUAGGCAGGUUGCUGGGACGGUUCUGACACUAAGGCACGAAAGCGUAGGGAGCAAACGGGAUUAGAUACCCCUGUAGUU
This 442-nucleotide ribosomal RNA is filed under the name uncultured bacterium. RNAcentral's name for it is "partial 16S ribosomal RNA". It matches the Rfam family "Bacterial small subunit ribosomal RNA", at positions 338 to 795 of the family's 1533-position model. The record is from RNAcentral.